Molecule: ribosomal RNA, 460 nt
Filed under: uncultured bacterium
Lineage: Bacteria
Description: partial 16S ribosomal RNA
Rfam family: Bacterial small subunit ribosomal RNA
Source: RNAcentral
CCUACGGGCGGCAGCAGUGAGGAAUAUUGGUCAAUGGGCGCGAGCCUGAACCAGCCAAGUCGCGUGAGGGCAGACGGUCCUAUGGAUUGUAAACCUCUUUUGUCGAGGAGCAAAAGACGCCACGUGUUGCGUUCCGAGAGUACCCGAAGAAAAAACAUCGGCUAACUCCGUGCCAGCAGCCGCGGUAAUACGGAGGAUGCGAGCGUUAUCCGGAUUUAUUGGGAUUAAAGCGUGCGCAGGGGGUAGGGCAAGUCAAGGGGGAAAUUAACGCGCUCAACGGCGGAACUGCCGUUGAAACGGGCUAACUGGAGUGUGUGAGAGGAUAGUGGAAUUCGAGGUGUAGGAGUGAAAUCCGUAGAUAUCUGGAGGAACAUCAGUGGCGAAGGCGACUAUCUGGCACAUAACUGACGCUGAGGAGCGAAAGCGUGGGUAGCAAACAGGAUUAGAUACCCCGGUAGUC